This 465-nucleotide ribosomal RNA is filed under the name uncultured bacterium. Its description in RNAcentral is "partial 16S ribosomal RNA". It matches the Rfam family "Bacterial small subunit ribosomal RNA", at positions 28 to 507 of the family's 1533-position model. The record is from RNAcentral.
GACGAACGCUGGCGGCGUGCUUAACACAUGCAAGUCGAACGGAAAGGCCCUGCUUGCAGGGUACUCGAGUGGCGAACGGGUGAGUAACACGUGUGUGAUCUGCCCUGCACUUCGGGAUAAGCCUGGGAAACUGGGCCUAAUACCGGAUAGGAGCCAUUUUUAGUGUGAUUGUUGGAAAGUUUUUUCGGUGUAGGAUGAGCUCGCGGCCUAUCAGCUUGGUGGUGGGGUAAUGGCCUACCAAGGCGGCGACGGGUAGCCGGCCUGAGAGGGUGGACGGCCACAUUGGGACUGGGAUACGGCCCAGACUCCUACGGGAGGCAGAAGUGGGGAAUAUUGCACAAUGGGCGCAAGCCUGAUGCAGCGCCGCCGCGUGGGGGAUGACGGCCUUCGGGUUGGAAACUUCUUUCGCUAGGGACGAAGCUUUUUGUGACGGUACCUAGAUAAGAAGCACCGGCUAACUCCGUG